Long non-coding RNA from Frankliniella occidentalis (western flower thrips), 1026 nucleotides. RefSeq lists it as uncharacterized. NCBI's taxonomy places the organism in Eukaryota, Metazoa, Arthropoda, Insecta, Thysanoptera, Thripidae. The record is from RefSeq and is a predicted model, not a curated record. The transcript has 2 exons.
GUCGUCAGCUGAGCAGUCUUUGAGAGACUUUUUCUGGCGCGGAAAACGAAAGGCGUAUUCUUGUAGCAAGCAUACCAACCAAUAAGUGAAUUUUUCAGUUAUGUGUGUAAUUUGUGCCACCAAUAGAAGUCGAUAAAAAAUAAUAUUGCAUUAUUGGCGGUCGUUGCGAGGACCAUGCCGAAAGCGACAAGUACGACGCGGACCCCUAGCUCGGGCCGCAGAGAGGAUGAGCCGCUGUGCUUUGGCGUCGUGCUGGACGAAGCAGGUUGACCAGUGCUGGUCCCGGGCGGCGCUGGUGGGCCAGUGCUAAAGCCGUCACGUUCAGUACUCGUACCAGACAGCCCCAACUGGUUACACUCGCAACCGCAUUUGAGUCCGGCGAAAAAGCACUCGAUGACGCAAUUCCGAUCGAACUUGCAGCCGAGUUUGCACGUGUUGUACGCGUACAUGCAUUGCCUCUGAGUGACGCACAGGUUGACCGCGUCUGCGUUGCUGAGGCUCUGGUCGCCUGACAUUCCGUCACAAUUGCAAAUGCAGUUUAACGUGCAUUGGACCUUGCACUUAAAAUUGGUGUCGGGGCACGUGCAGGUUCCUUUUUGGCACUGGAACAAGCACGAUGAGAGCGGGUAAGAACGAUAGAUAAGACUGAUCUUUGGCACUUGCUACGUUCCGUUGUUCUCCAUGGAUCGCAAACUGCGCGAACUGGAUGUUGUCGGUACCCACACCUUGCCGUGCAGCGCAUUGCUGAAACUUCGCGAAGUCGUCCUUCGGAGUGCGGACCGAGCUGAGGCUGUUGUUGAGGGAGAAGUCGGCCAGGAAGGUGGCGUUGAGGAAGGAACUCACGAUGUUCUCGACAGCGGUGCUGCACGAGGACGGGCUUGCGGCCCAGGCGAGGAGCAGCGCCAGCACCACCGGAACGGCCACCAUCGCGCUCUGCAUCAUCUACAGCACAAUUUUAAGGAGAUGCGUAUAUUUCUUCUUCCCUUCAGCUGUCGAAAUGAAAGCUUAAGUUUUUUGCCACUUUUA